RNAcentral lists this small nucleolar RNA (72 nucleotides) under Cimex lectularius (bed bug). Its description in RNAcentral is "small nucleolar RNA SNORD18". It matches the Rfam family "Small nucleolar RNA SNORD18". Rfam says of the family: U18 is a member of the C/D class of snoRNA which contain the C (UGAUGA) and D (CUGA) box motifs. It is encoded in introns of ribosomal protein L1 in Xenopus and human, and in introns of elongation factor 1 beta in yeast. The record is from Rfam by way of RNAcentral. Lineage: Eukaryota; Metazoa; Arthropoda; Insecta; Hemiptera; Cimicidae.
UUUACUUGAUGAAUGCCACCUUUUGGUCCGUGUUGAUGAGAUCAUUUGAUUAUAAAGUGGAAGUCUGAAAAA